RNAcentral lists this long non-coding RNA (5174 nucleotides) under Sus scrofa (pig). RNAcentral's name for it is "lncRNA (ENSSSCG00000059954.1)". The record is from RNAcentral. Lineage: Eukaryota; Metazoa; Chordata; Mammalia; Artiodactyla; Suidae.
CAAAAUAGUUAUUUAAAUUAUUGAAUGAACUAAUGAUAACAGAAACUUUGAAAAAAUUAUAUUGAUGUCCCUGUAUAUCAUAAAGUCCACCAAAUAUGACUCCAUCAAGUUUAGAUUAUAUAUGUUCACAUUUUUCACUGAUAUGAACUUAUUUUCCAACUAAGCAACCAUCUUAACUUGGCUAUUCUGUUAAAUGAACACAUGAUUCUGGGCCCUUUUCCUUUACUGUACAUAUAUUCCACCUUUGCUCUGGAGAAAGAAUGUCUGCAUUGGAGGGACACUUGGUGUGUUCUAAUGAGGCUGACUGUCUGAGAGCUGGUGGUUCUCACCCUGAGAGUUCCUCCUGUCACCCAGUGUGCUUCAGUCUAUGUGUUAGCCAGUUGGUGAAUGAGAUUUUGGACAAGUUCCAAGCCAUCGUUAAUUAUGUGCUUUCUCAAAGCUCAACUUUGGUCUUCAUGGAGGCCUUUUCUCUAUUUAGUAAGUGGUUUGUUUUGCUUUUCUGCACAUCUAACCUUAUUUACACUUUUCUUUCAUAAAAUAGAAACAUAAUCUAAUACCGGGGCAAAUUGCACAUUGCAUUAGAUUUGUUGAAAGGUUUUUAAAAGGCAAUGAGAUAACAUAUGUAGCAGCACUCUGAAAACUGUAAAGAAUCCUACAUCUGAAAGGAAUUUAUCAUUGUUUAUUGUCAUUCAUUUUACUUUUCAGAAAACACAUGGGAAUGUCAGACUUUUGAACCUUCAACAUGAGACAAUGGUGUAUUUUUUGGUGGAGUUUCAAUGGUCUUUUUGGUUUUUGCACAAGAUGAGUUGUUUGUGUAUAUGUAUAUAUGUGUGUUUUCUAGAGAUUUUCAGGGUUUUUUUUUUUUCUUUUCAUUUCUUUUACUUUGGUUUUGCUUUUUCAUACCUAUAGAGAAUAGACUUUAUGUUAAAGCUGAUACUUCAGCUCUUAAAAACGACAAGUCUGAGGGGCUUGGGGAGAUGGUUUUAGGAAAAAGAAAAAGCUGAGGAAAGUUAAAUAGUUCCCAAAGAGCAUUUUAUUUACUGAAAUAUAAUCCCAAGGGAAAUUGCUAUAAUGUAAAAAUCUCGGAAUAAUCUUGGUAUUAGAUACAUGUAAGCUACGGUCAGAGGGGCUAAGAAAUUGAUGAGCUGCAGAUAAUAUUAGUUGCUGUGUUUGAAGACAUUUCUUGGGUGAAUUCUGAAAUUGAGUCCUCUGUUGGAUAGAUACUUUGGCAGCCUCAGUAUUAUUGAUCCAUUAAAGACAAAGAAGAAAAUGUUCUGAUCGGUAUGCUAAGAGUUUCCUUCCUGGGGAAAGAAGGCAGUCUCAGGCUUCCUAACUUUUCAUUGCAAUUGUGAAGCCCACCUAGGAAGACAGGUUUGAAUUAUUAAAGAAACUGAGUUUUCUAGCCUUGAAGCAGAAUUUCCAAUAUUCUGCAAAUUUUAAAACAUCUUGUUUGGAAAUACAUGUUUUUUUCCAUCAUGUUGAGAGAAAGAAAGAAAGAUAAUUCACUCAGGAGUGAGAAGAGUCGGCCAUGACACUAAAAUUCAGUUGGAUGAAUUAAGGUGUAACUGGGUUUUAGUCACUUGUCUUAAAAAUUAGCGAUUUAUAAUUUGAAUAGCUGGCUUACUGUUUGACAUUAUGUCCCUUUCAAAAUAAUCUGUGGGGAAAAUUAAUGUUGUUACUAAUAUUUUAAAUCCUUUUAUCUGGUUAAACUGGUAUAAUAAUAAUUGCUUCCAGCUCAUACAAGAAACAUUUUUUUCCUUAAAGCAUCCUACUUUUGUAUUAUGUCAUGAAUUAAAUCUUUUUUAAACAAAAGAAAAAGCAUGGUAUAUGGCAUAGGGGAAUACAUGUUUCACUUUCUUCUCUCCUGGAUGACUCUCUAGCUAGUGGCUAAAGGUGAGGGUUUUAGAACAAUACAGGCUUGAGAUGAAUUCUGUCUUAACCAUUUUUUCUGUCAAACUCUGCCCAGCUCUUUAGCAGCAUCAAGUUACAGUUUCCCAAGCUGUGAAGUGGGAAUUAUACUAGAACCCAUCUUUUGAACUUGUUAUCAUAGUUGAAUCAGGAAAUGGAUGGUAAAUGUAGCAGGGUCCGGGAUACAAUAGAUAUUUUAAAUAUGUUAGCUACUCAUACUAUUCCAAUAACUCUAUGGAGGAUACAGUGAAAAAAAAGGUACACAUUUGUUUGACUCAAAUGCUAUGGGCUUUUGCUGCAUUAGUAAGAAAUAUCCAAAGUCAAACUUUUAUUUGUGUGAUGGCAAGUCUGUAAAUAUAUUUUGAUCCCGAUUUUUCUUGUUUUGGAAGUGAGACCUGGCAGCAUGAAAGUUCCAAGGGAAGUAGAAGUGUGACAAGGUCUUCUUUCUGCUUUGACUGAAGUGCUCAUUAGUGUCUGCUAAUGAGAAAAGAUUAGGUCAGAAGCCAGAAGAGUACACUUCUCAGGGUAAGAAAGGGAGAGGUCAAAAAGCCAAGGUCAGAAAUAAGAGAUCCAGGUCAGACCAUGACAUUGGAUAACCUAGUGUCAAGAAUCAGGUGGCCACAAGCAGAAGACAAUCUUACCUCUGCCCUUGGACCUAAACAGCCUGGCAUAAUUUUGCUGUUGCUUCCCUCUCCAAGCCCCUGAUAUACCUCUGUCCUGCUCAUUCACCACUCUCCAGGCAUCCAGAGCUGCUGCUUUCUCCUGGAAUAUCCCAGCCUUUCUUCAACCGGAGAUUUUUGUGUCUGACAUCUCUUUGUCUAUGCUUCAACACAGGGCUCUGGUUCUCAUCCUUCAUGUCUCAGCCCAAAUAUUACUUAAUAAGACAGGGCUUUGUUGACCAACAUAUGUUAUUUUGUCAUCUCUCCAUUGAUUAUUUUUAUAGCAUUUAUCACAUCUCCUAUUUUUUGUUUAUUGAUUUAAUCUCACUAUUAUGAUCUCUUUUGACCCUGUUAACAUGUGUCCUCCACAACAUUAAAGACUUUUUCUCUCUUGAUUGUAACUCUAUCCUCUGGAACCAGAAAAAAAGUGAGUAGCAGUUGGUGGGUGCCCUGUAAUAUUUUCUAACAAAUGAAUACAUCAUAGCUUUAUUAUCUUGUCACCAUCAUAGUUCAUGAUUUUCCUUUGUGCCUUGAGUUACUCAGUGUUUACUGAGGACUUACUAUGUGAAAGGAACUUACACCCUGGGAACAUACAGAUUAAGAAAGACUUGUUUCCUUCCCUCUGUGGCACAGCUAACAAAUAUGUUGCUGCUUGCCUUGGUGACUUCCUGGAUUGGUUCCUGGAGAAAGAUUCUGGGGCAGUGUCUCCACAGAGUAAAACAUGCCAGUGGCAUGGAAGAGAAGAGAGGAAAUGUUUCUGUCAUAGAUUUGCUGUCUUGCCUAAUUAGCAGAACCAGCAUAUUUUCAGAACAUCUUUCUUAUGGGAAAAAGUGGCUUUUUGUAAGUCCCACUUACAUCACCUCACCUUUAACCAUGGGGCAUUUUUGCACAGGCACAAAUCACUCAGCUCCUCCACCCCCAUGCCCUGUCCUCUUCCAACAGCUUACGGCCCCUUCACUUAGUGGCCAUCAUCCUUCGUAUCUCCACACAGGGGUCUCCUUCAGGGAUUUGUCACAGCUCUGACUACUUCUCCAUCUUUCCCUGACUAGGCUAAUUCUUCUGCCCUAUCUUUUCCUGGCUCCCUGGACUUCUCUUCAUAGUCCUUAGCAUCUUUGUCAUGUGCAUGGGUCUGUGUCCUUAGCAUCUUUGUCAUGUACAUGGGUCUGUGUCCUUAGCAUCUUUGUCAUGUGCAUGGGUCUGUGUCCUUAGCAUCUUUGUCAUGUACAUGGGUCUGUGUCCUUAGCAUCUUUGUCAUGUGCAUGGGUCUGUGUCCUUAGCAUCUUUGUCAUGUACAUGGGUCUGUGUCCUUAGCAUCUUUGUCAUGUGCAUGGGUCUGUGUCCUUAGCAUCUUUGUCAUGUACAUGGGUCUGUGUCCUUAGCAUCUUUGUCAUGUGCAUGGGUCUGUGUCCUUAGCAUCUUUGUCAUGUGCAUGGGUCUGUGUCCUUAGCAUCUUUGUCAUGUACAAGGGUCUGUGUCCUUUGUCAUGUACAUUAAUACUUGUCUCUCACACUGGACUAUGGCCUCCAUGAGGACAAGUCUUUGGUUUGCUCACUUUCCAGUACCAGCUACCUGAAAUUACACCAGAAACUUCUUGUUAAUCUAAUAUGCCAUAAUUUUUUAUUAACAUUGACUUUAAUGAUUUUGAUGCCUUCUCACUGCUAUGGUUUUGUGCUUGUAUCUAGAGGGGAUGGUUUCAUCAAGUAAAUACAUUUUAAAUCUACAACAGUGACAGAUAAUGAAACAGUGAGAGAACCGUGACCAUAGAUAUUUGUAUCACACAGAAACAGGUAGACAUCUUCUCGGCCUAACCAAAUCUCACCUCUUCUGCUUAACAUCGUCCGACUCCUUUUGCUGACAUUAUUCAUCAUGACGUCCAAGUUUCUCCUACAUCUGACACCAUGGAGAUUGUUGUCAAAACUCAGCCUCUGUCCGCUGGUGCCAAAUAGAAACCUGGAGACAGAGUUUUCGGCGAAGGAGGAAAAAAACAGCUUCACUGUUUUGCCAGGGAAAGGAGGCCACAACAGGCAAAUGCCCUAAAGACUGUACUCUUCCUUGGGAGAGAUGAGUUAUAGUUUGGGAAUAGAAAGAGGCUUUAUAGUUUGGGAAUGGAAAAUAGGGCAACAGAUUAGAUCAGGGCAGAUGCAAGCUUUCGUUCUUCUUCAUAGUUGGUGUUUAGUGGCCCCAGGACUGGUUCUGGUUGUCCUCCUGUCUGGUUUUCAUUUGUUGGGGGAUUUAGUUCAGCAGAAGAGCUCAAAAAUACUGUUCUAUGUAUCCCUUCAGGAGGAGCCAGGACCCUGCCCCAAGGCUGCACUAUUGUUUCUUGACUGUUCCUGCCUUGUCUCUUCAUCCCCUCCUUUCCUUGAUUAGCACCUGUUUGGUCCUGCCCUUUGGAACUCAGGAAAGGUCAGGGAGGCUGAAGCUUAUUUCCUAAAGGGAAGAAAUAGGGGACACAGAAAGGCCUGUGCCAGUGCCAAGGAGCCUUACAGGGUCCUGCUUGGCUUCAAGAUUAACAAUUAAAACAUUCCCUAUUCAGGUAGAAAAUACAGUGUAAACAGAUAUUUUCCUGACUCAGGCUGCCUUAUGUCCUCUCUCCCCCAAAUAUCUUAG